CAAAGAAUGUUUGUCUUUUUAAAAUGUUGCACAGAUAUUUCUGUUCAUUCUUUUAUACAUAGAAACAUUUGUACAAAGGGAUGGCUAUGGAAGGGCACUGUCCUGCUUGUAGAUAUGGUCACACAGUUGUUUUACAUAUGUACAUGCCAUACAGAACACGUAACAGCAGCUAAGGGCGGGCAGGGGAUGGACGGAGGUGUUAUCACACACACGCACACAGACACAUACAAACAACACACACAUACACAUCCACUGUUCAGAUCAGAGAGAAUCCUUAUCUACUGUAGCGAUAAAAUACACUCAGACACUCGCUUUAUCUAGAGAGGUGUGAUAUAUCCCCACCAGUGUUAGAAGAUAGCAUUGGAAGAGCUGUGGGAUAGUGUUGUUAAUUUUCAUCUUCUACCUUACAGAGCAGAAUACGCUCUGAAGAAGCCAGCAUGGUAUUCUCUCUCUCUACCUCUCUCUCUCUCCAUCUUUUUCAUUAUCUCUACAGCUCUCUCUCUUUUUCUCACUCCCUCUACAUCUCUCUCUCUCUACUUCUACCUCUCUCUCUCCCUCUCCUUUCUCUCUAUCCUGUUUCAGUUUGAAUGAAUAACACACAUCCUGAGAUUUCACAUUAGGACUAGGAACUAGGAAGCUUGGAGUUAUGCAUCAUCACCUACUGUAUGAUAAGCAGACAGGUGGUAGUUAGUUACAGUUCUGUAUGAUAAGCAGACAGGUGGUAGUUAGUUACAGUUCUGUAUGAUAAGCAGACAGGUGGUAGUUAGAUACAGUUCUGUAUGAUAAGCAGACAGGUGGUAGUUAGUUACAGUUCUCUAUGAUAAGCUGACAGGUGGUAGUUAGUUACAGUUCUCUAUGAUAAGCAGAAGGGUGGUAGUUAGUUACAGUUCUCUAUGAUAAGCAGAAGGGUGGUAGUUAGUUACAGAUACAGUUGAAGUCAGAAGUUUACAUACACUUAGGUUGGAGUCAUUAAAACUCGUUUUUCAACCACCCCACAAAUUUCUUGUUAACAAACUAUAGUUUUUGGCAAGUCGGUUAGGACAUCUACUUUGUGCAUGACACAAAUAAUUUUGUUUACAGACAGAUUAUUUCACUUAUAAUUCACUGUAUCACAAUUCAGAAGUCAGAAGUUUACAUACACUAAGUUGACUGUGUCUAUUAACAGCUUGGAAAAUUCCAGAAAGAAGCUUCUGAUAGGCUAAUUGACAUAAUUUGAGUCAAUUGGAGGUGUACCUGUGGAUGUAUUUCAAGGCCUACCUUCAAACUCAGUGCCUUUGCUUGACAUAAUGGGGAAAUCAAAAUAAAUAAGCCAAGACCUCAGAAAAAAAUGUAGACCUCCACAAGUCUGGUUCAUCCUUGGGAGCAAAUUCCAAAUGCCUGAAGGUACCACGUUCAUCUGUAUAAACAAUAGUACACAAGUAUAACACCAUGGGACCACGCAGCUGUCAUACCGCUCAGGAAGGAGACGCGUUCUGCCUCCUAGAGAUGAGUGUACUUUGG
Long non-coding RNA from Oncorhynchus tshawytscha (Chinook salmon), 1500 nucleotides. The record is from Ensembl. NCBI's taxonomy places the organism in Eukaryota, Metazoa, Chordata, Actinopteri, Salmoniformes, Salmonidae.